GAAGACGCUGGCGGCAGGCCUACACAUGCAAGAUUGAACGGUAGCACAGAGGAGCUUGCUCCUUGGGUGACGAGUGGCGGACGGGUGAGUAAUGUCUGGGAAACUGCCCGAUGGAGGGGGAUAACUACUGGAAACGGUAGCUAAUACCGCAUAACGUCGCAAGACCAAAGAGGGGGACCUUCGGGCCUCUUGCCAUCGGAUGUGCCCAGAUGGGAUUAGCUAGUAGGUGGGGUAACGGCUCACCUAGGCGACGAUCCCUAGCUGGUCUGAGAGGAUGACCAGCCACACUGGAACUGAGACACGGUCCAGACUCCUACGGGAGGCAGCAGUGGGGAAUAUUGCACAAUGGGCGCAAGCCUGAUGCAGCCAUGCCGCGUGUAUGAACAACGCCUUCGGGUUGUAAAGUACUUUCAGCGAGGAGGAAGGCGUUGUGGUUAAUAACCGCAGCGAUUGACGUUACUCGCAGAAGAAGCACCGGCUAACUCCGUGCAAGCCCGCCGCGGUA
Molecule: ribosomal RNA, 505 nt
Filed under: Citrobacter freundii
Lineage: Bacteria; Pseudomonadati; Pseudomonadota; Gammaproteobacteria; Enterobacterales; Enterobacteriaceae
Description: bacterial SSU rRNA
Rfam family: Bacterial small subunit ribosomal RNA
Source: RNAcentral